GUGGGGAAUAUUGCACAAUGGGCGAAAGCCUGAUGCAGCGACGCCGCGUGAGCGAAGAAGUAUUUCGGUAUGUAAAGCUCUAUCAGCAGGGAAGAUAAUGACGGUACCUGACUAAGAAGCCCCGGCUAACUACGUGCCAGCAGCCGCGGUAAUACGUAGGGGGCAAGCGUUAUCCGGAUUUACUGGGUGUAAAGGGAGCGUAGACGGCAAGGCAAGUCUGAAGUGAAAGCCCGGUGCUUAACGCCGGGACUGCUUUGGAAACUGUUUGGCUGGAGUGCCGGGGAGGUAAGCGGAAUUCCUAGUGUAGCGGUGAAAUGCGUAGAUAUUAGGAAGAACACCAGUGGCGAAGGCGGCUUACUGGACGGUAACUGACGUUGAGGCUCGAAAGCGUGGGGAGCAAACAGGAUUAGAUACCCUGGUAGUCC
RNAcentral lists this ribosomal RNA (425 nucleotides) under uncultured bacterium. Its description in RNAcentral is "partial 16S ribosomal RNA". It matches the Rfam family "Bacterial small subunit ribosomal RNA", at positions 354 to 796 of the family's 1533-position model. The record is from RNAcentral.